This is a long non-coding RNA of Zingiber officinale, 269 nucleotides long. RefSeq lists it as uncharacterized. The record is from RefSeq and is a predicted model, not a curated record. Lineage: Eukaryota; Viridiplantae; Streptophyta; Magnoliopsida; Zingiberales; Zingiberaceae. The transcript has 3 exons.
UACUGAGGGUUGGAGGGUAUGUGACAUGCAUCUUCCUCAGGAUUGGAGGAUUCAAAGAUAUGAGAGAAAUACAUGGAAGAAGCCAUGAUGAUAGGCAGAAAAGAGAACAAUUAUGCCAAGAGAAGGAAAUGUCCAAGUUUGCAUAAAUGGCAGAUGCACAUAGACAACGCCAACAAUAGCAACAACAACAACAACAUGAAGGUUUUGGGACCUCCUGCGAUGUUAGUGCACCCAAGGUUUCUUCAACAGUACUACAACAGGAUCAGUGA